This 19-nucleotide small nuclear RNA is filed under the name Arabidopsis thaliana (thale cress). RNAcentral's name for it is "snRNA_00229". Lineage: Eukaryota; Viridiplantae; Streptophyta; Magnoliopsida; Brassicales; Brassicaceae. The record is from RNAcentral.
AGCUCUAAAUUUCACAAAG